CACGUAGGCGGAUAUUUAAGUCAGGGGUGAAAUCCCAGAGCUCAACUCUGGAACUGCCUUUGAUACUGGGUAUCUUGAGUAUGGAAGAGGUAAGCGGAAUUCCGAGUGUAGAGGUGAAAUUCGUAGAUAUUCGGAGGAACACCAGUGGCGAAGGCGGGCUUACUGGUCCAUUACUGACGCUGAGGUGCGAAAGCGUGGGGAGCAAACA
Molecule: ribosomal RNA, 208 nt
Filed under: uncultured bacterium
Lineage: Bacteria
Description: partial 16S ribosomal RNA
Rfam family: Bacterial small subunit ribosomal RNA
Source: RNAcentral